CUGGACCUUGUGGAGCAGGCCCGCUGUGUGUAUACAGGCCCGGACACCACCAGUAUGGAAGACCUACCUGCCCAGUGCCCACUGCUGAUGCUGCCCUUUUAAAUCUCAGUAUACAGGUCAUUGUUCUCACUAGCGUGGCAUGGAGCCGCUUUGCCUGCACACCCUGGAAUUAAAGCAUGAAGUCUUGCAAAAGAUUGGCUACGGCAGGCAGAACCAAAAAGAUAUAACGACAGGUUUACAGAGUAUUGACACACAGGUACGGAUUCAGAUAUGCAGAAUACAGG
Molecule: long non-coding RNA, 284 nt
Organism: Hyla sarda
Lineage: Eukaryota; Metazoa; Chordata; Amphibia; Anura; Hylidae
Exons: 3
Source: RefSeq, a predicted model, not a curated record